UGUAGGUGCACAGGUAACUCUGGUGGAGUUUGAACCGGAGAUGUUUGGGAAACCUAGUCAUUGUGUUGUUGACUCUCACUGUGGACUGAUUGCUGUCUGAAUUUUAGGGUCUUGGAAGAAUGAAUGUCUGUUGGGUGUGUGCACUGGCUGAGGAAGACUUAGGAAUCUACAGAACAAGAAGUACUUGAAAUUGAUUAGCCUACUUUAUGUACAAAGGGUGCAUGAUUAUAAAAAAAUAUAUAUAAAUAGAUUUUUAUUGUCACUUCCCCCAGAUAGGUGCAGUGAAAUGUGUUGUUCUACAGAGUCAGCCAUAGUAGUACGGGUCCAUUGGGGCAAAUUAGGGUUAAGUGCCUUGCUCAAGGGCACAUUGGCCGAUUAUUCACCUUAUCGGAUCAGGUAUUCGAACCAGCGACGAACACUCCAACCGGUAAGGUAAGCAAGAAAACUGUGGCUGAUUUCAAAACUCUUUGAUACACCUGAGCAUCCUCUACUGGAGAAAGGCAUUCGAGGAAGAAAAUCCUCUACACUUAUUAACAAAGUGAACACUUAUCGGUUUCCAAGUCACAGAGGAGUGGAGUAAAGGACAGCCUUUUGCCCAAUUGACAAAAGGCCAGAGAGAUGACCUACCCUAUUGUCACGAUGGCUUCCUUGUUCUGACAGUUUCCGGUCCAGAUGGAUAUUUUAUCUCCCUUGGGUCGGAUGUUGACCACCGCUCCACACACAUCUUCACUGGCCUCGUCAAACGAUUCACCGAUUAAACACAACAGCUACAACACACACACAGUACAUGAUGUUAUGGAAUUAAUAAAAUGUUAUUUACGUGUUAA
Oncorhynchus tshawytscha (Chinook salmon) is the source of this 827-nucleotide long non-coding RNA. RefSeq lists it as uncharacterized. The record is from RefSeq and is a predicted model, not a curated record. The transcript has 2 exons. Lineage: Eukaryota; Metazoa; Chordata; Actinopteri; Salmoniformes; Salmonidae.